AGAUAAUGCUCCUCAUUGAUUUAUGUCCCGUCUGUUUAUAGAAUGUGAGGCAUCUGCUCUUUUGUAGGAUUAGUUUCAGCUCUUAUUAGGUUUGGACAAGUUUAUUUGUUUUACAGCUGAGUAGAGCCAAAGGACUCUGUAAAGAUCUGUAAAGGUGUGGUCAGAUUUAGUCUUAUUUUUUGAAAAUCUACUCAGAGAAAAGCUCCUGUUGAUCUAAUUGUGAUGGAUAAGAAGAGGUUAACAGCAAAUUUAAAGUGUGUGUGCGUUUGUGUGUGUUUGUUUGUGUCCAGGUUGCUUUUCGAAGAACCCUCAGUUCUACUUCAUUCUGUCGGAGGUGGACCGCUGUCCGGACAGAUCUAAGAAGACCUGCUCCUUUGUCCUGGCUCUGAUGCAGAAACACCAGAGAUGUCGAGGCAUCGACCUGGCCAUCGCCCUGCCCAUUUACCCGAUCGAAGAUGUACUCGCGCACGAUGAACCUGUGUGGAUCAUAGACUACACUAUGGCUCUUCACCAGGACAGACGAUACUCCACCUCACCUUGAGAUUUGGAAUGGAGAACUUGCAGCAGGAGGCCAGGUUGGUUUUGGCAGCGGUGCGCUUGAGUUUCUCUA
This is a long non-coding RNA of Acanthochromis polyacanthus (spiny chromis), 610 nucleotides long. RefSeq lists it as uncharacterized. The transcript has 3 exons. The record is from RefSeq and is a predicted model, not a curated record. Lineage: Eukaryota; Metazoa; Chordata; Actinopteri; Pomacentridae.